This is a long non-coding RNA of Ornithorhynchus anatinus (platypus), 229 nucleotides long. RefSeq lists it as uncharacterized. The transcript is spliced from 2 exons. NCBI's taxonomy places the organism in Eukaryota, Metazoa, Chordata, Mammalia, Monotremata, Ornithorhynchidae. The record is from RefSeq and is a predicted model, not a curated record.
UAUUAUUAUUAUUAUUUAUUGAGUUUUAAGGCUGGAGUGAUUCUCCCUGCUCCAGGAGGAUCAGCGGGACACCAGGAAUGGAAGAGAGAAAAAAGGCAGCACUCACCAGGGAUUUUCCCCACAGAAACAUCACCCCGGGGGAAAAUCCCCAAGAAGAAACCCGUGCCUGGGAGUGGAAAAUCCCCAAGAAUUCACUUGAAAUUUAGAAAAAAGGAGUUGCAUUCUGGUA